UGGGGAAUAUUGCACAAUGGGCGCAAGCCUGACGCAGCAACGCCGCGUGAGGGAUGACGGCCUUCGGGUUGUAAACCUCUUUUAGUAGGGAAGAAGCGAAAGUGACGGUACCUGCAGAAAAAGCACCGGCUAACUACGUGCCAGCAGCCGCGGUAAUACGUAGGGUGCGAGCGUUGUCCGGAAUUAUUGGGCGUAAAGAGCUCGUAGGCGGUCUGUCGCGUCUGCUGUAAAAACCCGAGGCUCAACCUCGGGCCUGCAGUGGGUACGGGCAGACUAGAGUGCGGUAGGGGAGAAUGGAAUUCCUGGUGUAGCGGUGGAAUGCGCAGAUAUCAGGAGGAACACCGAUGGCGAAGGCAGUUCUCUGGGCCGUAACUGACGCUGAGGAGCGAAAGCGUGGGGAGCGAACAGGAUUAGAUACCCUGGUAGUCCACGCCGUAAACGUU
Molecule: ribosomal RNA, 443 nt
Filed under: uncultured bacterium
Lineage: Bacteria
Description: partial 16S ribosomal RNA
Rfam family: Bacterial small subunit ribosomal RNA
Source: RNAcentral